AGCAGCCGCGGUAAUUCCAGCUCCAAUAGCGUAUAUUAAAGUUGCUGCAGUUAAAAAGCUCGUAGUUGAAUUUCGGGACUAAUAUGUCGGUCGUGCCUCGGUACGUACUGGUUUAUUGGUUUCUCCUUUCUGAAGAACCAUGAUGUCAUUUAUUUGGUGUCGUGGGGAAUCAGGACUGUUACUUUGAAAAAUUAGAGUGUUUAAAGCAGGCUCACGCUUGAAUACAUUAGCAUGGAAUAAUGAAAUAGGACGUUUGAUUCUAUUUUGUUGGUUUCUAGGAUCGACGUAAUGAUUAAUAGGGAUAGUUGGGGGCAUUAGUAUUCAAUUGUCAGGGGUGAAAUUCUUGGAUUUAUUGAAGACUAACUACUGCGAAAGCAUUUGCCAAGGAUGUUUUCAUUAAUCAAGAACGAAAGUUAGGGGAUCGAAGACGAUCAGAUACCGUCGUAGUCUUAACCAUAAACUAUGCCGACUAGGGAUCGGAUGAUGUUAAUUUUUUAAUGACUCAUUCGGCGCCUUACGG
This 520-nucleotide unclassified non-coding RNA is filed under the name uncultured Glomus. Its description in RNAcentral is "SSU rRNA". It matches the Rfam family "Eukaryotic small subunit ribosomal RNA", at positions 569 to 1093 of the family's 1831-position model. Lineage: Eukaryota; Fungi; Glomeromycota; Glomeromycetes; Glomerales; Glomeraceae. The record is from RNAcentral.